GGUCUAUGCCGUCUGGGCAGGAAUCCUCAUGCCGGGUUUUCGCCGAGUGCCGCUCAGAUUACAGGUGCCUUAUAUGCCAGCGAGCAGAGCUCAAGUGAGUACGUCAUGACUCUCCUGAAGGGCCGAUCUGGAGGCGUCGCUGACCUGGGCUCAGGGGACGGCAGGAUUGUGUUAGAAGCGUGCUCUCGGGGUUUUUC
This is a long non-coding RNA of Cyprinus carpio (common carp), 197 nucleotides long. RefSeq lists it as uncharacterized. NCBI's taxonomy places the organism in Eukaryota, Metazoa, Chordata, Actinopteri, Cypriniformes, Cyprinidae. The record is from RefSeq and is a predicted model, not a curated record. The transcript has 4 exons.